Molecule: non-coding RNA, 122 nt
Organism: Caenorhabditis elegans
Lineage: Eukaryota; Metazoa; Nematoda; Chromadorea; Rhabditida; Rhabditidae
Source: Ensembl
AAUGACCGCUGGUUCAUUUGCCUCCUCCCCCUCCUCAUCAAACCGUUCUACAUCGAAGGGGGAAAAAGCGAGAGGAUGCUGGUGGCCACGGUUCGUUGUAAGAGGAACGUUUGUCCAAAGAA